CCUACGGGUGGCAGCAGUGAGGAAUAUUGGUCAAUGGACGCAAGUCUGAACCAGCCAAGUAGCGUGAAGGAUGACUGCCCUAUGGGUUGUAAACUUCUUUUAUGUGGGGAUAAAAUGUUCCACGUGUGGGUUUUUGUAUGUACCAUAUGAAUAAGGAUCGGCUAAUUCCGUGCCAGCAGCCGCGGUAAUACGGAGGGUCCGAGCGUUCUCCGGAUUUAUUGGGUUUAAAGGGAGCGCAGGUGGAUGGUUAAGUGAGUUGUGAAAUUUUGCGGCUCAACCGUCGAAGUGCAGUGGAAACUGGGAGUCUUGAGUGCAGCAGAGGUGGGCGGAAUUCGUGGUGUAGCGGUGAAAUGCUUAGAUAUCACGAAGAACUCCGAUUGCGAAGGCAGCUCACUGGACUGCAACUGACACUGAGGCUCGAAAGUGUGGGUAUCAAACAGGAUUAGAUACCCUGGUAGUC
Molecule: ribosomal RNA, 460 nt
Filed under: uncultured bacterium
Lineage: Bacteria
Description: partial 16S ribosomal RNA
Rfam family: Bacterial small subunit ribosomal RNA
Source: RNAcentral